GGCUGCCACCCCCCACACCCACAUACCAGGGCACUCCAGAAGACUGCAUCUGCUGGGAUAAUGCAGCUGGAAAUACCCGUCCCUCUAGGCUGUGCCUCCCUCAUGAAUAGCUAACCAAAAAUUCACAAGCUCUUCACAUGAUCAGCCGAACAACCCAAACCCCCAGCCCUCGAAUGCUCUGUGCACUUCUGCUUCAGGCCACAAGCAUGAAGGCUGCUUUUCUCCUGAUGGGUGUUAUUUUCAGACUACGAUUAACCAACUCUGCUGAUUAAUAUGAAAUUAUAAACAUCAUCCGGCCAAGCUCAUGACCCUGUGGCUUCAGUUUUUUCCUCUUCUGAAGUCAGCUGUAGGUUCAGCGACCAGAUGUAAGACGCAGACCUCAAAGUUAAUAUCCAGAGCCAAGACGAGGCCUGUGGUAUCUGGUUCUAGGAACACCCCGAACAGAAGGGAAGUGAAAGACUGGAGGAAUCUGUGGGGGAAGAGCAGAAGCAGACACGACUCCCCCGUCACAGCCACCAGAGAGAUGGAGAAGCAGACGAAACAGAAGCUCCUUCUCGUACAAGGUGAUGAAGCUUUAUGUGUGUUAUGACAGAUACCAAGCAGAGACUAAUACAGAAGAUGCAGGCUCAGCACCCAGUCCUAAAAGACAUGUAAUCCUUUCCUUUCCUGAAGGUGCCAGAGAAUCUGAGGUUUUUUUUCCCAGGCCCUUUGCCUAAACUCUUCUAGAUGUGCUGGGUGGCGUUCCUGAGCUCUGUACUUUACAUCUAUCCCUGGCUAAUGGGCAUGUUGGGUGCAUUUUUUAAGCACUGAUGCGGCGCUCUUUUAAUGCACCUACAUUUAAUCUAGGUUCAGUGGGCUAGCGGUGCAGAGCCAGCCCCUGAGUGCUGUGAGGGAGAAAGGGGAUGGAGGAAGGCUUACCAGAAAGACUGGAGCUCAGAAUUUUAGGGCAUGUAUACACGUGCCUGAUGCCUGCUCUGAUGCAUGCUAAUUCUGUUAAAGCAGAAUCCAUUAGUCGUGCCUGCUGGAGCAUGCUAAGUAGCACACUCCAGCAGCCGCGGCAUCACAUGUAUUCAGUGUCCCUGCACUACAAAAUGGAGGUGGGGGCACAUCCCAGCCAGGGCUUUGUUGAGCCAGGCCUUAAAAACCUCCAAGGACGGAGAUCCCACCACCUCUCUGAAUAACCUCUUCCAGUCCUUCCCCACCUGCCUUGUGAGAGAGUUUUUCCUAAUGUCUACCCUACACUUCCCUUGCUGCAUAUUGAGAUAGUUGCUCCUUGUUCUAUCUUUUGCCACCACUGAGAACGGUCCAGCUCAGGGGUUGUCAACCAGGGGUACGUGUACCCCCGGGGGUACUUGAGAAGGCCCUAGGGCGUAUGCACGGGUGGGUGGGGAUGGGGUGCUGCCAUGCACCAUCCUGCACUGCCGCACAGGCACCGCUUUGCAUCUGGCCAUGCGCCACUGCCCCCCCCAACUCCUGCAUCUGGCUACCAAGGGUACAGUGCUCCACGUCUAGCCACAGCGGGUGCACUGAUCCAGAAAGGUUGAAAACCUCUGGUCUAGCUCCAUCAUCUUUGGACUCCACUGCAGGUAGUUGAAGGCUGUUAUUAAAUCCCCCUCAGUCUUCUCUUCUGCGGGCUAAAUAAGCUCAGUUCCCUCUGCCUCUCCUCCCAAGCCAAGUGCCCAAACUCCCUAAACCAUUUUUGUUGCCAUCCGCUGGACUCGGAUGGGAAGGGGCAGAAGGGGCACAUGCCACAUGGAGGGGUGGGGGGGCACAUGCCCCCCAAGAUUUCUGCAUCCACAGCAGGGUGCAGAGCUGCAGCUGGGCCAAACCAGCUCUGGGCAGGACCUGCCUAUGCAGCUAUGGCAGCAGCAAGGGGCUGUGGGUUGGGAGUGAGAGGCAACAGCAUGGGCAGGGGCAGGGCACUGGCAUAUCGGGGCUGCUGAUUACUACCCGUCAAGUCUGACAAUCCAGUCAGUUUUCUAUCUACCUUACAGUCCAUUCAUCCAACCCAUACUUCCUCAGCUUGCCUGCAAGACUGCUGUGGGAGACGGUAUCAAAAGCCUUGCUAAAGUCAAGGUAUAUCACAUCCACUACUUUCCCCACGUCCACAGAGCCAGUCAUCUCAUCACAGAAGGCAAUCAGAUUCGUCAGGCAUGACUUGCCCUUGGUGACUGUUCCUAAUCACCUUAGUCAAUGCUGACUGUUCCUAAUCAUCUUCUUCUCGUUCAGAUGUUUAGAAACACUACGUGUUUAGAAACAUCUAUGCUAGGGACACACACACGCCUCUAGCUACAACAUUGUGAUGGAUUACGAAUUUCCAGGAACAAGAGUUUGCAAGCCAGUCAGCUGAGGUCAAAUAUUGUCAACUGACUGGUCGGUUGCAUAUUUUUGACCAGUCAAAGAUUAAGGCAAUUUUACAAAAAAUCUGUAUUUUCUGUGGGUGCUGUUUGUAGCUAUGUUGGUCUAAGGGCAUAGACAGACAAGAUAUUUGGGUAAAUGUGAUAUCUUUUAUUAGAUCAAUUGAACAGUUGGGAAAAUUGUUCUGUGCAAACUUACGGGCACGGGCACCCUUCUUUAGGCAUAGGGAAGAGACUCCCUAUGCCUGACAAGGGCACCUAUGCCCAAAAGUUUGCAAAGAACAAUUUCCCCAGCUAUUCAGUUGGUCUAAUAAAAAAUACCACGUUUACUCA
Molecule: long non-coding RNA, 2690 nt
Organism: Crocodylus porosus (Australian saltwater crocodile)
Lineage: Eukaryota; Metazoa; Chordata; Crocodylia; Crocodylidae
Source: Ensembl